AGAGUUUGAUCCUGGCUCAGGACGAACGCUGGCGGCGUGCUUAACACAUGCAAGUCGAACGAGGUCCAUCCGGUGGCAACACCGGUGAAGAUCUAGUGGCGAACGGGUGAGUAACACGUGAGCAACCUGCCCCGAAGACUGGGAUAACAGCGGGAAACCGCUGCUAAUACCGGAUACCCCCACCGGGCCACAUGGCCUGAUGAGGAAAUAGAUUCUGCUUCGGGAGGGACUCGCGGCCUAUCAGCUUGUUGGUGGGGUAACGGCCCACCAAGGCGACGACGGGUAGCUGGUCUGAGAGGACGAUCAGCCACACUGGGACUGAGACACGGCCCAGACUCCUACGGGAGGCAGCAGUGGGGAAUAUUGCGCAAUGGGCGAAAGCCUGACGCAGCAACGCCGCGUGAGGGAUGAAGGCCUUCGGGUUGUAAACCUCUUUCGAGCAGGGACGAUAAUGACGGUACCUGCAGAAGAAGCUCCGGCCAACUACGUGCCAGCAGCCGCGGUAAUACGUAGGGAGCGAGCGUUGUCCGGAUUCAUUGGGCGUAAAGAGCUCGUAGGCGGCUUGGUAAGUCGGAUGUGAAACCUCCAGGCUCAACCUGGAAUCGCCAUCCGAUACUGCCAUGGCUAGAGUCCGGUAGGGGCCCACGGAACUCCUGGUGUAGCGGUGAAAUGCGCAGAUAUCAGGAAGAACACCGGUGGCGAAGGCGGUGGGCUGGGCCGGAACUGACGCUGAGGAGCGAAAGCGUGGGGAGCGAACAGGAUUAGAUACCCUAGUAGUCC
Molecule: ribosomal RNA, 780 nt
Filed under: uncultured bacterium
Lineage: Bacteria
Description: bacterial SSU rRNA
Rfam family: Bacterial small subunit ribosomal RNA
Source: RNAcentral